AGCCUCUCUCCUCCCUACGGGCGGAAGUGGGUCCAUUUUCUCCCCCCUCAGUCGGAUAAGAGCGGCUCGAGGAGCUGCAGCCCGAGCAACACGCGCCCGCGAGAGCGCACGCCUCAUGUUUAUGUUAAGGUUAAUUCACUCGAGAGGAAACAGCGGCAAAAGCAGCCGAGCGAGGGGACGUGGUUAAGGUCCAUACGGUCGCGGGACCGAGUUUUUCCCGGUUUUAGGGCGCCCUUUUUCCGCGGCGCCGGAGGAAAAACCCUGCGCAUUCCUCCACGCAGAGAGCCCGAGAGGGAGACCAGCCUACGGACCGGCUGGGGAAGGAGAGCUGGAAGCGGCCCUCUUCACAAGGUGGACCGGUGAAUUCGCCCACGGAGGCUUGUCACGGACGUGUGCGGUCCGAUGUUUGGGGUCUCUCUCUGUGUUCGGCUUUGAUGCUCGAGCGACCCCAGGCACGCUACGCGGUCGUUGCUUUGAUGAAUAAUUUACGCUCUCUCGGUCCGAGGCUCGCGCUGCGACUACCAAGCGACCGUUGGCUGCGCCCGACGCCGCCUGAAAGGGCCCCGAUGGUGGACUAGAGAGAAACACCCGACACGACCACGACCACGACACGGGCCUAAAUUUGAGUGCAGACAAAUAAAAACCCAAUUUAAAGAAGGGAUUAGAAACACUUUGGUGAUCCUCUGGGUGCUGCGGAGCCCCAUAGUCAUGUUGCCGAGUCGGUGGGGGAGGAGAGACGGAUCCCCCAGUACUUCGACGCCGAUCCAGUGUCACUCCAGUUUCGGGGUUAUUUUAUGAGCCUCAGCGAAGCACCGUCGGUCACUUUGUCUCCGCAGAAGCGUCAGCAUCGUGCAUUGUCAUCUUGUUCGUUUUAUUUGAGAGAAUGAGGCCGAUGCUUCCCCCUAAAACGCCUUACACGCCCGAAUUGAUCUUGACACCGCAAGUAUUUUUUUCUUUUUGUUACCUCAGAAACAGUCGUUGAAGAACUGGCUACCUCCCUCGUUUUGCAUCAGGUCAGAGAAAAAUCUGUACGUCGCUUAGCACCGUUUCCACUUUUGAGCUGACUUUAAUACCUCAUGAAUCUACCUCAAUUAGCACAUUAUUUUCUACACAACGCAACGGGCCGAUGUGUCACCAGAUGAAUACCUCAACCUCACUGCUGCCCGUGUUAUAAACUGAGCCCGUGUUUCGGUAACGCUGCAGAUGGCUUCAUUUCCAGACUCGGACCUGCAGACGUGCCCGCUCUGCAAGGAGCUGUGCGGCUCCUCUGCUCCUAUCUCCUCCAGCUCUUCUACCUCCUCAUCUUCCUCACAUACCUCGUCCUCCUCCAGCCAGACCACCAGGAGACUCCAUGUCCUGCCCUGCCUCCACGCCUUCUGCAGGCAGUGCCUAGAGGGCCAGCGUAGUCCCGGGGACCCGCUGAAGCUGCGUUGCCCCACCUGCGACCAGAAGGUGUCCAUCUCUGAGGCCGGGGUGGACUCCCUGCCUUCCUCCAACUUCCUCUUCAGCAACCUGCUAGACGUGGUGGUGAGCUCUGAGGAGCAGAUCCAGAACAAGAACGGACACCACCACCGGGGAGGCUUAGGAGGAGGCUCCUCCGGCUUCCAUCACCCCCAUGGAGGCCUGCUGCAUCCGCACCACCUGGGAGAGCCUCAGUGCAGCUCCUGCGAUGAGGAGAACCCAGCCACCUCCCACUGCCUUGACUGCCAGGAAUAUCUGUGCGACAACUGCGUGCGGGCACACCAGCGGGUGCGGCUGACCAAGGACCACUUCAUCGAGUGCCUGGGAGAGAACCUCCACCUGGGCCGGGUCAAUGCCAACAGCAACCCGGGCCAACCAGGGGUGUCGGUGUCCCUCGCCCAGUCCCUACAGAACAACUUCGCCCUGCUGUCACUGUUCCAGGACCGCAUGAGCUUCUGCCAACACCAUGACACUGAAGUGUUCCUGUUCUUCUGUGAAACAUGCUCGGUGCCUAUCUGCAGAGAGUGCAGUGUGGGCCGUCAUAUGGGCCACACCUUUGUUUACCUGCAAGACGCCGUGCAGGACUGCAGGGCCAUCACCAUCCAGCUGCUUGCAGACGCACAGCAGGGACGACAGGCUGUGCAGCUAAGCAUGGAGAAGGUCCAGGCAAUGGCAGAGCAAGUGGAGAUCAAGGCUAAGGUGGUGCAGACUGAAGUGAAGGCCCUUGUUCUGAGACACAAGAAAGCGCUGGAGGAGAGGGAGUGUGAACUACUGUGGAAGGUGGAGAAGAUCCGUCAGCUGAAGGCCAAGUCUCUGUACCUGCAAGUGGAGAAGCUGCACCAGAGUCUGACCAAGUUGGACAGCACCAUCGCUGCCGUCAGCCAGGUGCUGGAUGAGGGCCGCCACCUAGAUGUGCUGCUGGCCAGGGAGCGAAUGCUCACCCAGAUCCAUGAAUUGAAGGCCCUCAGAGGCCUGCUUCAGCCACAAGAGGACGACCGCUUCAUGUUUACUCCUCCAGACCAGGCUUUGUACAUAGCCAUCCAGUCCAUGGGCCUGAUCAGUAGUGGAGCCUUUGCCCCGGUGACCAAAGCCCAUGGUGAGGGUCUGAAAAGUGGGCUUCGUGGCAAGCCUGCCUCUUUUACUGUGAUUGGAUAUGACCAUGAUGGCGAGCCACGUCUUUCUGGAGGGGACACAGUUUCCGCAAUAGUCAUGUCAGUCGGCGAUGGUAACCUGUCUGCGGCAGAGGUAACAGACCACCAGAAUGGCUCAUACACCGUCGGCUACGUGCCCAAAUGUGAGGGGGAGCACCUUGUGUCGGUGCUGGUGUGUAACCAGCACAUCCUGGGAAGCCCCUUCAAGGUGAUCGUGAAGUCUGGGCGGAGCUAUGGAUCUUUGGGUGCCCAAGUCUCUUCCUUCGGGUGCGAGGGGGAGGGAGAUGGUCAGCUCUGUCGUCCCUGGGGCAUCAGCGUGGACAAGGAGGGAUACGUGGUGGUGGCUGAUCGCAGCAACAACCGCAUACAGAUAUUCAAGCCUUGUGGUGCCUUCCACCAUAAGUUUGGCUCUCUGGGUUCUCGGCCUGGUCAGUUUGAUCGUCCAGCUGGGGUUGCAUGUGACAGUCAGAGACGAAUCAUUGUGGCUGAUAAGGACAAUCACCGUGUGCAGGUGUUUACUUUUGAGGGCCAGUUCCUGCUGAAGUUUGGGGAAAAGGGUACCAAGAAUGGGCAGUUCAACUAUCCCUGGGAUGUGGCUGUCAACUCUGAGGGUAAGAUCCUGGUCUCAGACACCAGGAACCACCGUGUGCAGCUCUUCGCCCCCGACGGCUCUUUCCUCAACAAGUAUGGCUUUGAAGGGGCCCUGUGGAAACACUUUGACUCUCCCAGAGGAGUGGCCUUUAAUCAUGAAGACCACCUGGUGGUGACUGACUUCAACAACCACCGGCUCCUGGUCAUCCGGCCGGACUGUCAGUCAGCUCGCUUUCUGGGCUCUGAGGGCACUGGAAACGGGCAGUUUCUGCGGCCCCAGGGUGUUGCUGUUGACCAGGAAAACCGCAUCAUCGUGGCCGACUCCCGCAACCACAGAGUCCAAGUGUUCGAGCCCAAUGGAAACUUCUUAUGCAAAUUUGGCACGCAGGGGAGUGGCUUUGGACAGAUGGAUCGCCCCUCCGGUGUGGCUGUGACGCCUGACGGAGUCAUUGUGGUCGUUGACUUUGGAAAUAAUCGCAUUCUCAAAUUCUAAAAAAAGUUGAUUUUUGCACUCUCUUCCUCCGUUAGUCCUUUUUGCAGUUUCUCGAUGAAGGAAAUGGAGGAGAGAGAGUGAAUCAACCGACACAACGGGAGGAGAGCUCAGAUAGGAUUGAGAGCAGGUUGAAAUGAAGGGAAAUUAAAACAGUAGAUGAUUAUUUUUUUCAAUUACAUUGAUAUUCUCCAAAUCAGAUAUCCGUGGUAUGUAUGCCAAAGGGGGACCUCUAUAAAUUGAUAAUCAGUAGAAAAAGAGCCAUACUUCCCCUUCGUCACUCUCAGCUGUUCUGAAUUCUCUCUGCAAGCUCUCCUUAAGUAUCCAUCUCAGGGAAUUUCUCACUUUUCUUGAAAUCUUAUACCCUCUGCUCCACACCUACCUCAUUUAGCUCUUUAUGAAUGUACUCAUAGUCACUGAGCAGAGGUUUUAGUCCGUGAAGUUUUACAAAGAAGAAAAGUCUACCUCUAUACUUUGUUAUUUAAGAGAGACAAAAAAGAAUAGACUCUUCAGUUGAUAUUUGCACAGGAUUAAUGGAAUUCUUGCUGUGCAUUUUGAAAUAUGAGUUAAAGUGAACCUCCUGAAUGUUGUUGCUGAGACAAUACUCAGACCACUGUAGAGGCUGCAUGAUUUAUUCUCAUUAGAAGGUUUCGCUCGGAGAGGAAACUGGGGUACAGUAGUGUCCUUUUCAUGUUUUAGGCUAGUUAUUUUUUUGCUUAUGCAUCGAUCCUUGUCUCUUUGUGGCUCUGUGGAGUUUGUAGUGUCAUGAUAGCCUAAGAAGAGUGUGAAAAGCGAUGCCAAACUUGAUAGAAUCAAAAUUAGCUCAGGUCAUGGUAGGACUGAUUAAAAUGAUCAGUACUUUUCAGGCUCCCCCUCUAGCUUUACUGGCUAAUGAAUUUGAAUGAAUUUAUUGAUGAGCAUAAAUAUAAAGUUUAGGGAUUCCUCUGCAAAAUGAUCCCUGAAAUGACCCCCAAAAUAAGCCCUGUGAUAAAAUUAUCCAAAGUGUUUGAUCAUUCAUACACCCCUAUCGUAACCGUGUCUCAUGAGACUGGAUGAACUAAUGUUUUUGAUAAAAUAAGACAACCUGUCUUGUUACUAUCCAGUCAGUUGCAUGAACAACUAAGAUGCGAAGAUUUGUAUGCAAGGAGAACAGCAUCUCCUCCAAAAGGGAGGACCCACCAAAGGAUUUUGGAGAAGAAUCUUCCAAGAUCUGGAUCUAUUAGUGAUCUUAACGUAGAGAUUAAUCAUAUAAUUGAAUGACACCUUUUUGAUGAGGCAUUCUGUGUGACAAAAGCCUCAGAUGUAGACACCUAAUUUGGCCGUCCAGAGGACAUUAAUGACAUCAAAUUAGACCUAACAUUACAAUCCUCUGGAAUUUGAUUCUGGUUGAAAGCCACUCUGUUUGGCUCCCGGGGCCUAGGAUGUAGUCCAGUCCAAUGAGAGGGCACCAAAGUAAAGCCCUGCCCUAUUUAUUGAUGCUUGGAGCUGUAGAGACAUCUCCAGAUUGAACGCUAGUAGACCGAUUCCUCUAAAGAUGGAGGUCAAUAGAUCACCUACUGGAGUCAACCAAAUUUAGAAUUUCUGCUCAAUGGCCAACUGUAGAUUUGGCAAUUAAAGAAACUACCCCCCCCAUUUAAAAACAUAUUCUAUUAAUCAUUGUUGCUGGUAGGUCUAAAGUUAACAAAACUCUGAGUUGAGUUCAUAGCACUGUCCAUGUUAGUCUUAGAAGAAUAAAGUGUGCUUGGGUCACAGUUACUGUGCAUGAGUACUCCCACAUCCUGCUAAGACAGAGGGCCCUCGCUGUUUGAGGCAUGGUUGAAAGAAAACCCUUGUUGUCUGUCUGCAAAGAUGUUCCAGAAGAGAACAGAGGAUACUCACACCAAAGACAACCCCUUUCUCCUCCUCACAUUUAUUGCAUCAGCAUAUCAAAUGAUGCCCCAGUUCUAUAUGCCCCUUUAAUUUUAGAUGGCCUGUAGGCUGAAAGUAGCAUCUCGGAUUAGCCUUUGUAUCCCAAUCUAAUCUCCAUAGAAACUAAUAGAUACUAACUCUUCGUGUUGAAAGCAUUGUGGGGUUUUGAAUCCCCUUGCCCUUCGUUCAAUCUGUGUCCCGCUGGAAGCACUAAGACAAUUAAGGUUCUGUUAGCCACUUCUUUAGCCUAGCAAAGAAUCUUGGGACCCAUGAAAAGAGUCACCGACUGGCUCUCACCUCUGAGGAGAGGGCCCGUCUGCACAUGAUCAGGAUUUAGAUCAUUACCUCAACGCUCGUUUUACCUCCUUUCUUGUAUACUUCAACCCCCGAAUACCUCAAGUAUGUCACUCAUAGCUACUGUGCAUUUAAACAUUCAAAUACCUCAGCAUGUUACUCUCAUUCUGAAUACCUCAUUUUUACUCUUUUAUUUUAUUUACCUGGUCAGAUAUUUAUGCAUUACAAAAUAUACCUCAUACUUUCAGUCGUCUUGUGUUUCAGUGCAGUACAUGUCCCAUAGCUCUAGGACCAAAGAUCAUGGUACUGUUUUGAGUUUAAAUAAAAUUUGUAUUAUGAUCAUCGCUCCAUCUUGCAACCCUGAACAGCUUUUGGUUUGGUUUCUCUAAUCUACUGUAAAUUGCCUGGUAAACUAUGCCUUUUAUCACCAAGAAACCAAAUAUUUCAGAUGAAAGCAUUGUGCCAAAAUGAUCUGUGAGAGUUCUGUGCCAAACAGGGUUGGCAUGUGGACCACGCUGUUGUAGACGACAGAUGUCACUGGACCAUUAUAUCAUAGAUACAAAUCUUAAAGCAGAGAACCUGAGGAUAAAUCCUCGCUCUCAGACUGGAUGCGCUUAAGAGGGCUGUGCCCCAUUUAUCCUUACCUCAUGAUGAUGAUGAUGAUGAACAUGCCGAUUCCACUCAUACUUUGUUAAUGUGUGCAAGUCGUGAGGGGAAUAGCACAUGACCUCUUUUAAAGAAUUAAGAAUAUUGAACGCACAAGAACGACGUCUAAUUUCAGCACAAUUUACAGAUAUUUCAGUGUGGAUUUUAGGAUGCUUGAUGUUGCUUGUGGAGGACCUGGAGACAAGUCUAAACUCAACCAUUCUGACCGUGGUUCAAACAAACAUAUCAGGGGAUUACACCUAAUGGUGACAACAGGCUGGUUUAUUAUUUAAGUGGAGCUAUAGCACAUUGAAGGCGAGCCAGUUUUAGUCCACAUACCCUGCUGCUUUGAACCGAACACCUAGUUUCACCAAUAAGAUUGUUUUUUGCUUUUCAGUAUUACUCUGUGAAAUGUUCAUUCAUGUUGCAUCAGUUUUUUUAAUUAAGACUGCAGAAUUCUAUCUUUAAGAUCCUUAGGUCUUCACUCUUAAAGAGGAAAAAUGUAUUUUAAACCUUUAUUUUGUUUUUCAUUUUGUUGCAUGCUUUAAAAAGUCCUUGUAUUAGACUGACGUCUCUCAGAUAGGUGUUGAAAAACUCAGAUGGGGUGGGUAGCUAUUGGGAUGAUUUUACCAAAAUAUAUACCCAAAGACGUGUAUGUGUGUGUUAAUAUUGCGUUGGAUGGAAUUAACCUUUGACCUUGGCGAUUGUAUUUCCUGUUCUCUAGAGGCUCUGCAGAGCACAACCUGUUCAGCCAGCCAUGCCUCAAUUCCUGAGAAACAAUAGAGGCAGUUUUCAGAUAAAUGCAGAAGGCAGGUCUGCCCCUCGACCAUUAGCGCUUCAUUUUCUUUAAAUCCCUCUUACAUGCAUAAUGUGGGUAGAUAAAUUAACAUAUUGUCCUUCACACUUGAGCCCUGUAACUUAUGGAAGGUGUAAAAGCUUUUUGCUGAACAUAGAUUUACUUUUCCAACAAUGGUGAAUUUGUAAGGUGGCCAUUUUGUGUUUUGACCUAGUAAGGGGAAUUCUCUCACUGUCAUGUGAGAAGCAGCUAGGUUUCUCCAGCACAAACCAGCAAUCAACUCCCCCUCUCGUCUUUAAAAGAAUCCAGGAAGUGUGGUGAUGGCUGCUGAGCAUGUGAUAGGUUGACUGCACUCCUGCUCGGUGGGUCUUUUUUUUUUUUUAUUGGGCCCCUGUGGUUUUUGUCCACCAUUUUAUUUCUGGCCUCUCACAGCUUUAAGAGAGAGAAAAAGCAAAGCUGCACCAGGUGACGUGUGCAAGGUCGUAGACCUCCUUUUAAUGAUUGUAUACUCGAAAGAAAAAGAGAGAAAGAAAGAAAAAAAGUUCUGAAAAUUUAGAAAGGAAAAAAAAUAACUCAGGUAGUUCUAAGCAGCCCUGCCCCCCAGGUGUUGCAUUGAAACAUGUCCCGUAGUGAUGAUGUAAUGACUUUUUUCUUUCCCCCUUGUUAUGACCUCUCAGUACUAGUCAGAGUCUUUUGUGUCCAUUUACAUAUUAUAAAAGCAAAUUAUUUCCCAAUCUGAAAAAAUAAUUCUUUCGAUUAGUUUCCCAUGAUUACGUUUUUUUGUUUGGUUUUUUUUGCCAAUUUCUAUUUUUCCUUUUACAAAAAAAGUACAAAUACUUCACACCGCUUGAUGCUCAUUGGCCCUUUUAGAAUGUAUUUUGUGAAGAAAAGGGUUAAAUGGGAUCUUGUUGAUGCUCACUUGAUACAACCAGCUACUGGAAGCCUUACAAGACAGAACAGAGACCACAGAAAAUACUCAGUUCUUCUAUAAGAUCUGUUGCUAGAUGUUCCAAACCAGCAAUACUCGGAGUAUAAGGUGGAAUCACGUGGUUAUAGUGCAGCACUGUGUUCAUUUAUGAACCAGCUUUAACAUCAGCCAAGAUGAGAGAUGUCUGGCCUGAGGGGAUAACAGCCAGCUGAUCUUGUCCACACUCUUGUUUCUUUUGUGUCCUGUUCUCCCAGUAGCUGGAUGUGUGUGGUGUGAGCGUUGUGUUUGUGCGCUGCAUCUGUGUUGUCUGAGAAGAGUUCCAAUGAAUGUAUCCUCCUCUAGUCCAAGAGGCAGGGCGAGCCAGCAUGGCCAGCUGAGUUUAGAUGGGUGCUGCUGGCGCUUCCUUAUCCAUGCCACAGUGUGUGUGUGUGUGUGUGUGUGUGUGUGUGUGUGUGUGUGUGUGUGUGUGUGUGUGUGU
This is an RNA transcript of Xiphias gladius (swordfish), 8742 nucleotides long. It is a transcript of the gene named tripartite motif containing 71, E3 ubiquitin protein ligase, with no coding region annotated. NCBI's taxonomy places the organism in Eukaryota, Metazoa, Chordata, Actinopteri, Istiophoriformes, Xiphiidae. The transcript is spliced from 8 exons. The record is from RefSeq and is a predicted model, not a curated record.